This 253-nucleotide ribosomal RNA is filed under the name uncultured bacterium. Its description in RNAcentral is "partial 16S ribosomal RNA". It matches the Rfam family "Bacterial small subunit ribosomal RNA", at positions 524 to 776 of the family's 1533-position model. The record is from RNAcentral.
GACAGAGGGGGCAAGCGUUAUCCGGAAUUACUGGGCGUAAAGCGUCCGUAGGCGGUCUGACAAGUCAGGGGUUAAAGCCCGGAGCCUAACUCCGGAUCGGCCCUGGAAACUGCCAGUCUAGAGUAAGGUAGGGGUUGCGGGAAUUCCCGGUGUAGCGGUGAAAUGCGUAGAUAUCGGGAAGAACACCAGUGGCGAAAGCGCGCAACUGGGCCAUUACUGACACUGAGGGACGAAAGCUAGGGGAGAAAAUGGG